Molecule: small nuclear RNA, 100 nt
Filed under: Symbiodinium microadriaticum
Lineage: Eukaryota; Dinophyceae; Suessiales; Symbiodiniaceae
Source: RNAcentral
UCUGACUCUCUGGCUGUACCAAAAAGGAACGACACAGAGAAGAUGAGCAUGGCUGCUGUGCAAGGAUGACACACACACUCACGCGCAUGGCACGUUUUUU